Molecule: long non-coding RNA, 231 nt
Filed under: Elaeis guineensis (African oil palm)
Lineage: Eukaryota; Viridiplantae; Streptophyta; Magnoliopsida; Arecales; Arecaceae
Description: long non-coding RNA (EGUI_LNC008847)
Source: RNAcentral
CUUGUAAGCCUCUAAAAUUUAAAUUCUUAUUGUAAUACUAGAUUUCACUAGCAACUUCAUCAGCAAUGACAAAAGAUCCCUAAGUCAACUUAUAAAUCCAAACUUGAAUUGAGGUUUCAUACACACCAUAUAAUCUCCGAUAGAUAUAAAUAAGAUCUAUUAUUUGGAUUCAAGGAUAAUAAUUAAAAGCGUUACUGAUUCCACCAAGAUGAACAUCUAUUACCUUAAAAU